CUGAAGUUAUUAUUUUUAUAUGUUGUUGGAUCAACCUCUCAGUGCUUCUGUACGUCAAAGUGUCCUUGACAAAGACACUAAACCCCAGUGUACUCAAACCAAAACUAUUCAAAAACAGCAAGGACUGUGACCAAAUCUGUUCACAUUUUAAAUUAGCUGUUGCACAAUUAUGAACAAGUGCAAUAGAGUUGAAAAUGUUAUGUUUAACAUAAAUUUACCAAAUUUCUCUCACUUAAAAUAAGCAUUGAUACUGUUUUUUUUUGUUGUUGUUUUUUUUUGUAAUUUUACUUCAUUGAGGUGAGGUAAUCAUUUUCCUCAAAAUAGCUAAAUUUACC
Thalassophryne amazonica is the source of this 335-nucleotide long non-coding RNA. RefSeq lists it as uncharacterized. The transcript has 3 exons. The record is from RefSeq and is a predicted model, not a curated record. Lineage: Eukaryota; Metazoa; Chordata; Actinopteri; Batrachoidiformes; Batrachoididae.